Rhinolophus ferrumequinum (greater horseshoe bat) is the source of this 3343-nucleotide long non-coding RNA. RefSeq lists it as uncharacterized. The transcript is spliced from 3 exons. Lineage: Eukaryota; Metazoa; Chordata; Mammalia; Chiroptera; Rhinolophidae. The record is from RefSeq and is a predicted model, not a curated record.
GAGGACUUCCAGAACAGCUUCAGAAAGUGGCAAGAACCAUGGGAUAACUGUGUUCGAAAUUGGUACAGAUUAAAGAAUAAAAUAUCGCUUAUGACAACAUGAGCUUCAACAACCAAAAAGAAACACAUCUGGGCAUGACAAGCACACUGAACCCCAACAGGACCUGAGCUAUUGGCUGAAGAGGCUAAAUGGAGCAAUAGAGCUGGAGAAACAACAGGCUGGAGGCAUCCAAGGAGAAGCUUGUGCAGUGCAGCUGCAAGACUGUGGUGCAGGAAGACCCCUUGUUGGAGUAUUGGCGGAUGUUUACUUCCUGUGUCUCGACCAGCCACCAUCGAGAAUAUGUAAGCACCUUGGCUGUGAGCCACUAUUGUUUCAGCAUAGUACCCUAAGAACCCUGGCUGGGCCCAGGAAGUCUGGCUGUGCCGAGAAAGACUGGCAGUACCCUGAGAAACCCUGGCUGUGCCCAGAAAGACUGGUGGAACCCUGAGAAACCCGGGCUAUGCCCAGAAAGUAGGUGGACAUCGAGGGACACCCCCUGGGACAUUACUUGAACUGGACUGAAACUUUUUCUCAUGUCAGGAACCCAGCUUGCAAAAGACACUGGUUGCACAGGGUGUGAGGCGAGAUCCAGGAGGGGUGGAAUGUGGGGACAGAGUACCGGAGAGCAGUUUCCAGGCUCUCAACCUUACAUGGAAAGAUGCUGGCUCAGUUAUUAGAUGGCCAUCAGCUGUAACUAGUUGGCCAUCAGCUGUAACCGGUUAGCAUUAGCCACUAAUAUAUAUAACUGCCGUGGCUAUGCUGGCAAAUUGGUUGGUUGACAAAGAAGCGGACAGCGGAUUGUGGCUAGGAAGUGUGGUUAGCAAGCGGAUUACAUUGUGGGACCUGUGUAUCGUACUUCCUAUGUCUCGCCCAGCAGCCAGCGGGACUGGGGUGCAGGAAGACCUCUCAUUGGGGUAUUGGCGGAUGUUUGGAUUUGUGUCUCGACCAGCCACCAUCAAGAAUAUAGUGGUAUGACUCCCCUAUCGAUGGCUCCUUUGUUUUUCCUUUUUGGCCUCACCAUAUUCUGUGUCCAUCCACUGAGAACGGGACCAGAGACCCUGCAUUACAUCUGGCUAGGUCUUAUUUGUGGGAAAACACGGUACCAAAUUACCACAGUAUACUUGUACUACCUAUUUCUGGACUUUCUAGUCUGUUCCACUGACUAAAGAAAUGAAUUAUUCAGUGACUGAUUUCAAGUCUACUCCAACACCCAAAAUAUGGAUUGCCAGUGUCAAAUUCUGCAUCCACCAUUAUGGAACAGCUGUGUUACUUUGGAUACAGCCCUGAACCUCUCUGUGCUGAGCAGUAGAUUAUCUCAGGAACUUCCACAGAACCUCAAAAACUGACAUUGUGACAAGUGCUACUAUUUCACAGGGAUAGAUUUGGCAUCAGAAAAUUCUACAUGACUAGUGACGUCGGGACAAAACGUGAGACUGUACAAUGUAGAAAGAAGCCACUGUAAUCAGAGAACCUAAAAAGUCAAAAUGGGAGUGUAAACUGAAAUAUGGUCUAUUCCCUAGAGAGGAAUUCUAGUUCUGAGCAAUUUCACUCAUCCAAGGGACAUUAAUUAUCAACCGUGAAAAGACAGCCUCUGUGUAUUAAAUAUAUUGAAUGUACAAACAAAAUGAAAUCAAGACCACAAAGCACAGUGGCUAAGGCCUCUGCACUGCCAUAUUUGGCACUCAACAGCACCAUGGUUUGUUACUCUUUAUUUCUGGAGGCAGAGUCUUUCGCUUUGUUUCUCAAUGUACAAGUUAAUAUUGGCUCCAGAAAUUUGAAGAGAUUCUGCAGAGGCUGAAAAAACAAGCUUUAUUCCAGAAAUGACUUCACAGCCUAUUUGUCUCAGAGCUUGAAGCACUUUUCAUUGAAGCCAUUAAAGAGUGCCAGGCCCCAAAGAAAGCCAAACCAUCCAUAAAGGCACACUUGUGCCUAACCAGCAGCCACCCUCAGUGCUCCGACUCAUCUUGCCAGGCCUGUCCUCUCUGGGAGAAAGCUAAAAAUGGCCUGCCCAUCUCAAUACUGAAGCUGUGUUUCUUGGUAGUGGUUCCGCCAUUUUUUGUCUAUUUUGUUUGGGGUGGAGAAGAGGGGGUAUUAUUUUUCCAUCUGUGGCUUUCUAAACUUUGCAUUUUCUGUCCUCAAAAUAGAAGCCCACUAGAGGCUACUGACAGUAUUCUUCAUCCAUGCUCAAAGGGAAUCAACAGGAAUGUCUCCUAUCUUCUUAGGAUAUCGCCACUUCACUCAUUCUUCUUUGGUGCCUCCAAACCUUUUUUGUCAAGAAGCUAAGAAGUGACAGGCACCCAGGAGACUCCUGGUAUAAGAGCUGGGGGAUGAAGGUGAACACUUAACACCAAAUUACCGAGCACAUCUUGCAGAAGCACUGUUCUACAUUAUACAUGUCCUAGCCACCCUCCUUCCCUUUAUGCCAAACCAGAAUCAAAGCCAUGACACUGAGAAGAUAAGACUAGGGAUCUAGGGGAAAAACUUCAUUUAAAAGAAAUGCCAGCAAAAGCCGUUAGCAGUGUUCUUAUUUAAGGUGCUUCUACACUUCUUAGAGAAAUAGGAAAAGCAGCAAUGCAUUCAGAAGAAACCCAAGCAACAGUUUAAUUCGGGGGCUCACUGAAGCACACAGCUGGUGUUCUAAAUCGUCUGAAGUUAAAUGCUAAUGCAGGAGCAAACCUGCAUCGAUUUAUAGUUCUAGAACUUGGCUGGAAACUAGGUUUGCUCCCAAUCCCAGUGAUGGCUUGUAAGAUUCUAUUCCUUGUUUUCAAUUUAACCUGAGGAAGGUAGAGAUGGGAAUAAAGAAUAAAGAUGAUGGCGUGGAAAGAAAAUUUAGUGAUAGGUAUAUAUCUAAAUAUAAAACAUAAGGAAGAUUUAUUGAUGAUAGCCAUUUUGACUGGGGUGAGGUGGUAUCUCAUUGUGGUUUUUAUUUGCAUUUCUCUAAUGAUUAGUGAGGUUGAGCAUUUUUUCAUGUCUGUUUGUCCUCUUUAUACAGAUGAAACAGUCCAUCUUUCAUACAAAUGAAAAUUAAAUUUUUCAUCUGUAUGUCCCCUUUAGAAAAAUGUCUCUUCAUGUCCUCUGCCCAUUUUUUAAUUGGGUUGUUUGUUUUUUUGGAGUUGAGUGAGUUUUUUAAUAAAUUUUGGAUAUUAACCCUUUAUCAGAUAUAUCAUUGGCAAAUAUCUUGUCCCAUUUAGUAGGCUCCUUUUUUUGUUGUAUUGAUGGUUUCCUUUGCUGUGAAAAAACUUUUUAGUUUGAUGUAAUCCCACGUUUAUUUUUUCUCUUACUUCCUUUGCCCGAGGGGAUAUAG